CUUUGAUGAUAUAUUUCAUUCUCUGAAUGCAUCUGAGAAAAAUGAAAUCAGUAUCAUCAUAUCCAAAAUGCAAACGGAAAGGAAGAGAGGUAAGGAAUCAAUUGAAGCAAAGAAGCAAGAUAGUCCUGCAUUUACAGAGGAGAACUUGGCAGAGUUCAUGGAGAGGCUUAAAGCUUACACUAUUCCCCUUUGGAAGCCAUACAAUCAAGGUUCAUCUUCGCUACGUUCAAGAAAGCCAUACAAUCAAGGUUCGACGAUUAUUUGGUGUUUUGUUCAAGCCCACUGCAUCUGUAGUAGUACUAAAUGGGCCCUCUGUAGUGCUGGACCAUCAACUUCCAAUCUUCUUUUUACAACAUAACGAAUUCAUCACUGUAGGGGAUAUGCUGGUCCCUCGCACUCUCAUCCCAAUCUAUGAAGAAUUGCUUUCCAAAUAUAAGAAUAUUGGUGCUACUAGCAGGCUAAGUCCCAAAGUGAAGUCAUUAAUCUUUUACAUUUUAUGUGGUGUUAUACAGAACAUGAGAACAAUUAAGGUUGUGGAUGUCACAGAAGACAAACUUGGGGAAUGGUUGGGUUGGCUGAAAUGGGUGGAGUGUGCUGGCUUCCAAAUUCGGUUCAUCUUCGAACAUAUGGAGCGCAUUGCUUGUGCCUACUUUGUCCUUCGAACUAGAAAGUUGUUAGAGGACUCUGAAGUUGAACAAGAGCAAGAUAUUGAAAGGAUUUCUGAAAUGAUGGAGAAACUGAAAACAAAAUUGGAAAGAACCAGAGCCAAGUCAGAAGCAACCAAGGAACAGCUAAGUUAUCAUAUAACACACGAGAAAGAAUUCCUCAAGGGUACCGCUGUGUCGAUUAAGUGGAAGCCUGUAACUGAUGGUUUGCUAUGAUGGAUAUAAGGUAAGAGGCUCAAAGGUUCAUGUAUUUCCAUUUCCUUAUCUGAGCAAGAAUUUCCCAUAUCAAACGAGGUGCUAAUGUACAGGGAGCAAGUAAAAGGAAUAUGAUCAGCAGUCAGCGAUUACCAUUGAUGUUUAAAUUAUUUUCUCAUCCUUCAGUUUAAUUCCAUAAUUUAGAAUAAUAUCUUUUAUCUGCAAUUAUAAUUCUAUCCUUUCAUCCCAUUUGUGUGAUUGAAAAUUAAUGUUUAU
Molecule: unclassified non-coding RNA, 1136 nt
Filed under: Hevea brasiliensis (rubber tree)
Lineage: Eukaryota; Viridiplantae; Streptophyta; Magnoliopsida; Malpighiales; Euphorbiaceae
Source: RNAcentral